GACGAACGCUGGCGGCGUGCUUAACACAUGCAAGUCGAACGAUGAAGCCGGAGCUUGCUCUGGUGAAUUAGUGGCGAACGGGUGAGUAACACGUGAGUAACCUGCCCUUGACUCUGGGAUAACUGCGGGAAACUGUAGCUAAUACCGGAUACGACCCUCGGAGGCAUCUCCUGGGGGUGGAAAGAAUUUCGGUCAAGGAUGGACUCGCGGCCUAUCAGCUAGUUGGUGAGGUAAAGGCUAACCAAGGCGACGACGGGUAGCCGGCCUGAGAGGGUGACCGGCCCCACUGGGACUGAGACACGGCCCAGACUCCUACGGGAGGCAGCAGUGGGGAAUAUUGCACAAUGGGCGCAAGCCUGAUGCAGCAACGCCGCGUGAGGGAUGACGGCCUUCGGGUUGUAAACCUCUUUUAGUAGGGAAGAAGCGAAAGUGACGGUACCUGCAGAAAAAGCACCGGCUAACUACGUGCCAGCAGCCGCGGUAA
Molecule: ribosomal RNA, 484 nt
Filed under: uncultured bacterium
Lineage: Bacteria
Description: partial 16S ribosomal RNA
Rfam family: Bacterial small subunit ribosomal RNA
Source: RNAcentral